UGCACUAGUACGGCGAGUGAAGCGGCAUCAGCUCAAAUUUGAAAUCUGGCUCUUUCAGGGUCCGAGUUGUAAUUUGCAGAGGGCGCUUUGGUGUUGGCAGCGGUCCAAGUUCCUUGGAACAGGACGUCACAGAGGGUGAGAAUCCCGUACGUGGUCGCUGGCCUUCGCCGUGUAAAGCCCCUUCGACGAGUCGAGUUGUUUGGGAAUGCAGCUCUAAAUGGGAGGUAAAUUUCUUCUAAAGCUAAAUACUGGCCAGAGACCGAUAGCGCACAAGUAGAGUGAUCGAAAGAUGAAAAGCACUUUGGAAAGAGAGUCAAAUAGCACGUGAAAUUGUUGAAAGGGAAGCGCUUGCAGCCAGACUUGCCUGUAGUUGCUCAUCUAGGCUCUUUGCCUAGUGCACUCUUCUGCGGGCAGGCCAGCAUCAGUCUAGGCGGUUGGAUAAAGGCCUCUGUCAUGUACCUCCUCUCGGGGAGGCCUUAUAGGGGAGGCGUAAUGCAACCAGCCUGGACUGAGGUCCGCGCAUCUGCUAGGAUGCUGGCGUAAUGGCUGUAAGCGGCCCGUCUUGAAACACGGACCAAGGAGUCUAACAUCUAUGCGAGUGUUUGGGUGUCAAGCCCGAGCGCGUAAUGAAAGUGAACGGAGGUGGGAUCCCUUUAGGGUGCACCAUCGACCGAUCCUGAUGUCUUCGGAUGGAUUUGAGUAAGAGCAUGGCUGUUGGGACCCCGAAAGAUGGUGAACUAUGCUUGAAUAGGGUGAAGCCAGAGGAAACUCUGGUGGAGGCUCGCAGCGGUUCUGACGUGCAAAUCGAUCGUCAAAUUUGGGGCAUAGGGGCGAAAGACUAAUCGAACUAUCUAGUAGCUGGGUUCCUGCCGAAAGU
RNAcentral lists this ribosomal RNA (877 nucleotides) under Neocucurbitaria cava. RNAcentral describes it as "LSU rRNA". It matches the Rfam family "Eukaryotic large subunit ribosomal RNA", at positions 76 to 968 of the family's 3401-position model. The record is from RNAcentral. Lineage: Eukaryota; Fungi; Ascomycota; Dothideomycetes; Pleosporales; Cucurbitariaceae.